UUUUAAGUCUGAUGUGAAAGCCCACGGCUCAACCGUGGAGGGUCAUUGGAAACUGGAAAACUUGAGUGCAGAAGAGGAAAGUGGAAUUCCAUGUGUAGCGGUGAAAUGCGCAGAGAUAUGGAGGAACACCAGUGGCGAAGGCGACUUUCUGGUCUGUAACUGACGCUGAUGUGCGAAAGCGUGGGGAUCAAACAGGAUUAGAUACCCUGGUAGUCCACGCCGUAAACGAUGAGUGCUAAGUGUUAGGGGGUUUCCGCCCCUUAGUGCUGCAGCUAACGCAUUAAGCACUCCGCCUGGGGAGUACGACCGCAAGGUUGAAACUCGAAGGAAUUGACGGGGACCCGCACAAGCGGUGGAGCAUGUGGUUUAAUUCCAAGCAACGCGAAGAACCUUACCAAAUCUUGACAUCCUUUGACCCUUCUAGAGAUAGAAGUUUCCCCUUCGGGGGACAAAGUGACAGGUGGU
This 465-nucleotide ribosomal RNA is filed under the name Staphylococcus hominis subsp. novobiosepticus. RNAcentral describes it as "bacterial SSU rRNA". It matches the Rfam family "Bacterial small subunit ribosomal RNA", at positions 581 to 1042 of the family's 1533-position model. The record is from RNAcentral. Lineage: Bacteria; Bacillati; Bacillota; Bacilli; Caryophanales; Staphylococcaceae.